RNAcentral lists this long non-coding RNA (1125 nucleotides) under Zostera marina. RNAcentral describes it as "long non-coding RNA (ZMAR_LNC004995)". Lineage: Eukaryota; Viridiplantae; Streptophyta; Magnoliopsida; Alismatales; Zosteraceae. The record is from RNAcentral.
UGGGGAUUGGGAAUGUACACAUGAUCUUUUUUAUAUAUAAUAUAAAAUUAAAGAUGAAAUAUUAAAAUAAAUUAUAUUACAUCUUCACCACCAUUAGUGAUAGAGCUCUUACCUGCUGAAUAUAAUAGAAAGUAAAACAGUAAUUAAUAAAAUGUAACAAGUCACAAUGAUAAUUCUUAAUUGGUCAUUAUCAUCAACAAUUCAAGUUAUAUCUGUCUGGUUUCUUCAAACCAUAUUGAUUUUUGAUUGUAUCCUGCCAUUUUUUGCAGGUGUCUUUUUUUUGUAUAUAAAAACUAUUGAAAGGGCUCACAGGCCAAAUGAUUUAUGGGAAAAAAUCAAACUUCCCCGGAACUAUGAAAAGGCAAUGGAAAUCAUUGACAAACAUAUGGUGCAAACACUUACAAUUUCUUACAAAAUAAUAUAUUAUCAAAUAUUUAAUUUAAUGUAAAACAUGUGUUUGAUUUAUUUUGUUUUAGCAAUAUUGGCCAAAAUUCCUUGUGCACAAAAUAAAACAAAGACUAACUAAAAUGACUCAAUAUCGCAUACGAAUGCGGAAACUUCAGCUAAAAGUGAGGUAUAAUUUCUUUAUUCAUUUUGUAUGAUAGAUUUCAGACUAUUAAUUAUUUUUUCUCCAAGAAGUAAAGGUUUUCUAAUGAGUAGUGGUAUAUGGGUAUAUAUAUUUUUGUAAAUUGGGUAAGGCCAGCUGUAUUUCACAAAAGAAAUUUUCUUUGCAUUCCUUGAAAAAUGUAGAAUAUUUAGACCAUGUACUUUUUUGGCAGUUAUUUAUGAUUUAAGACUACAACAAACUUUUCGCCUAGGCGUCGCAUAUGCGACCAUGCGCUCCAGCGCAUGUAGGCGUUUGCCUUCAUGCGCUGGAGCAGGUUAGGCGGAUUCGGGUCGGAUCCGCCUAACCCAAUAACCCAAAGAAAAUAAAAUAAACACCUUAUUUGCAGAUCUGCCCAUUCCCAUAGCGCACUCGCAAACCCUAGCUCCGCCCACGGACACUAGAUCUGCACUCACAAGCACUAGAUCUGCACUCGCAAACACUAGAUCUGCACUCGCAAACCCUAGAUCUGCACUCCCACAGCACACUCGCAAAAGAAAUCCCGAUUUCUAACCUUAGGG